UCUAUUCUAGCUGGUUACGGGCACAAGUCUCAAUAAUAGCUUAAUGGCCAACCAAAUCUACACCGCGGCGUAUAAUAACUUAAGGUUUAAUUAAACCCAAGUUCUCGAAUCAUCAAUCAAAAUCAGAAACAACACCCAACGCAGCAAAUCAGUCGAUGAAUCUAUACUUUAAGAUUAGAUCAAAAACAAAAUAACAUAACAACAGAAAAAAAAAACGAUUCAUAGAUCUAAAACGUUUUCAAAACGCGGCAAAUUAGUCGAUGAAUCUAUACUUUAAGAUUAGAUCAAAAACAAAAUAAUAUAACAACAGAAAAAAAAAAAAAAAAACGAUUCAUAGAUCUAAAACGUUUUCACAACAAAAACGCACAUCUCAAUCUCCGAUCAACCAAAUCCACCGAAAGGAAAGGAUAAAAACAAUAAAAACCGAAGAGAGAGAAAAUAAACAAAUAAUAUACAAAGGAAUAACAGAUCGACAAAGAAUCAAAAGAAACUUACCUUAGAACGUAAAGAGAAGAAGAGGCUGGAGAAGGAUUGGUCUCAACUGUGCGUGAGGUGAGAGAGACUGUGAAAGAUUAAGGGGAGAGCAACGCUUUUAUAUUGAGCGACGUGAAAGGAUAAAAACAAUAAAAACCGGAAGAGAGAGAAAAUAAACAAAUAAUCUACAAAGGAAUAACAGAGAAUCAAUUAAGAUAGAAAUAGAGAUCGACAAAGAAUCGAAAGAAAGUUACCUUGGAACGUAAAGAGAAGAAGAGGCUGGAGAAGGAUUGGUCUCAACUAUGCGUGAGGUGAGAGAGAUUGUGAAACAUUAAGGGGAGAGCAACGCUUUUAUAUUGAGCGACGAGGUAGAGAGAGAAUAGGUUUUCUAGGGCAAACUCGGCCCCUUGAUUUUUUCUAUAUUUUUUCCUUAUUUUCUCAAACCG
This 920-nucleotide long non-coding RNA is filed under the name Jatropha curcas. RNAcentral describes it as "long non-coding RNA (JCUR_LNC001962)". Lineage: Eukaryota; Viridiplantae; Streptophyta; Magnoliopsida; Malpighiales; Euphorbiaceae. The record is from RNAcentral.